ACGCUCGACACCUACGGGAAGCAGCAGUGAGGAAUAUUGGUCAAUGGGCGCUAGCCUGAACCAGCCAAGUAGCGUGAAGGAUGAAGGCUCUAUGGGUCGUAAACUUCUUUUAUAUAAGAAUAAAGUGCAGUAUGUAUACUGUUUUGUAUGUAUUAUAUGAAUAAGGAUCGGCUAACUCCGUGCCAACAGCCGCGGUAAUCUGAGCGGGCUGGCAAGGC
Molecule: ribosomal RNA, 218 nt
Filed under: uncultured bacterium
Lineage: Bacteria
Description: partial 16S ribosomal RNA
Rfam family: Bacterial small subunit ribosomal RNA
Source: RNAcentral